This is a non-coding RNA of Podarcis lilfordi (Lilford's wall lizard), 197 nucleotides long. The record is from the annotation of a GenBank genome assembly. NCBI's taxonomy places the organism in Eukaryota, Metazoa, Chordata, Lepidosauria, Squamata, Lacertidae.
GUCAAAAUGAGAGUACCCCUAAACAUUUUUUUAAGAAAAAAAGCACUGAUUGCAGGGUCCAGGUUGGUUCAAAUGCAGAGAGGCAGUCUUUGAGUACAGCAGUUUCAAAUAGGAAGUCAAAAUAUGAAGAAAACAUUUAUGUUGGAACUAGUGUUUUUUUCCCUUAAAAAAAUGUUUAGGGGUACUCUCAUUUUGAC